This 30-nucleotide non-coding RNA is filed under the name Mus musculus (house mouse). The record is from RNAcentral. Lineage: Eukaryota; Metazoa; Chordata; Mammalia; Rodentia; Muridae.
UGCCAGUAUCAAGUCAUGUGAAGACAUGAU